GACGAACGCUGGCGGCGUGCUUAACACAUGCAAGUCGAACGGAAAGGCCCUGCUUGCAGGGUGCUCGAGUGGCGAACGGGUGAGUAACACGUGGGUGAUCUGCCCCUUAUUUUGGGAUAAGCCUGGGAAACUGGGUCUAAUACUGGAUAGGACCGUGCUGUAGGUGGUGUGGUGGAAAGAUUAGUUUCGGUAAGGGAUGAGCUCGCGGCCUAUCAGCUUGUUGGUGGGGUAAUGGCCUACCAAGGCGUCGACGGGUAGCCGGCCUGAGAGGGUGGACGGCCACAUUGGGACUGAGAUACGGCCCAGACUCCUACGGGAGGCAGCAGUGGGGAAUAUUGCACAAUGGGCGCAAGCCUGAUGCAGCGACGCCGCGUGGGGGAUGGCGGCCUUCGGGUUGUAAACUCCUUUCAGCCAUGACGAAGCCCUUGUGGUGACGGUAGUGGUAGAAGAAGCACCGGCUAACUACGUG
This 469-nucleotide ribosomal RNA is filed under the name uncultured bacterium. Its description in RNAcentral is "partial 16S ribosomal RNA". It matches the Rfam family "Bacterial small subunit ribosomal RNA", at positions 28 to 507 of the family's 1533-position model. The record is from RNAcentral.